This 497-nucleotide ribosomal RNA is filed under the name uncultured bacterium. RNAcentral's name for it is "partial 16S ribosomal RNA". It matches the Rfam family "Bacterial small subunit ribosomal RNA", at positions 28 to 507 of the family's 1533-position model. The record is from RNAcentral.
GACGAACGCUGGCGGCGUGCCUAAUACAUGCAAGUAGAACGCUGAAGAGAGGAGCUUGCUCUUCUUGGAUGAGUUGCGAACGGGUGAGUAACGCGUAGGUAACCUGCCUUGUAGCGGGGGAUAACUAUUGGAAACGAUAGCUAAUACCGCAUAACAAUGGAUGACCCAUGUCAUUUAUUUGAAAGGGGCAAAUGCUCCACUACAAGAUGGACCUGCGUUGUAUUAGCUAGUAGGUGAGGUAACGGCUCACCUAGGCGACGAUACAUAGCCGACCUGAGAGGGAGAACGGCCACACUGGGACUGGGACACGGCCCAGACUCCUACGGGAGGCAGCAGUAGGGAAUCUUCGGCAAUGGGGGCAACGCUGACCGAGCAACGCCGCGUGAGGGAAGAAGGGUUUCGGAUCGUAAAGCUCUGUUGUAAGUCAAGAACGAGUGUGAGAGUGGAAAGUUCACACUGUGACGGUAGCUUACCAGAAAGGGACGGCUAACUACGUG